RNAcentral lists this transfer RNA (70 nucleotides) under Halocynthia papillosa. RNAcentral describes it as "transfer RNA-Asp". Lineage: Eukaryota; Metazoa; Chordata; Ascidiacea; Stolidobranchia; Pyuridae. The record is from RNAcentral.
AAAAGGUUAGAAUAAUAAAAUUCAAAUUAAUGUCAGUAAUUAGAUUCUCAAUGGGGAGGGGAACCUUUUA